CAUGAAGGAGACCAUCACGGGCGAGUCCUGCUCCCUGCACCACGGUGAGGUUGGCUGUGCUCAAGGAGCUCACGCUGUCCUUCAAGGAAAUGGAAUUCAGGGCGCACCGACCGAUUCACUGUUUUAUUUUCCCUGGCCUGUUUCCACCGAGCAGCUAAGUAGCAGCAGGUCCUUCUGAAGGUGUGAGCGAAAGGCGGACGAGCCCCCGGGAAGAGUCUCAAAGAAGGUCUCUUCAGCGGGGGGUGUGGGGACAGGGCUUCCCAAGGAGGGCGGUGGUGAGGCCCUUUCCGCCUGCCCCAGGGUGGGGCUGAGCUCCAGCGGCGGAAGCUGGGGGCCACGGAGCUACGCGUGCGUGUGCUGACCCACGCAGUUUGAAACCCUCCCAAUGUCCCGGCAACGUCACCCUCCGAGUCCCGACACGGUCCCACCACGCUCUCCCCGAAGACGUCCUUCUGCAGGUGCCCGCAGACAACGCGGACUCUGUGAGAAAGGUUCUCCUGGCAACCCGGCCUGUGGGUCACACGCCCCUUCCACACCCAGCGCUGCACACCCUCGUUGAGGGGGACCCAGGAGAGGACGUCACGGUCCUGCAGCGUGUGGGUGGGGAGGAAGGGCCGGAGCACCAGGCCUCUGGUAACACCAUGGUUGGAGGGGCAAACAGAGGUCGUGUUUCAGCUCUGGGCCACGGAGGAGGCUUGUGGCAGACAGACAUGUUCCGCAUCACACUGUCUGUGAAGACUGCAGACACUUCUAUGCAUCCAUUCCCGUGCGCUAGGCAUGUCGGAAGGGGGAACGGGCCUCCACAGGGCCAGACGUCACAAGGACCUCACUAGGCUGCCCUUCGGGGCCCCGUGAUGCUCCUGGUCUAUGACAAGACCGCGGCGCUCCGUGUGUCCCCAGCAUCUUUAUCCAGAAAGACCCUGGAGAAUCCAGGGCCCACGCAGUCCUGCCGGCCUCACCAGCCCCUUCCUACUCUGCCCAGGCCUGCCAAUCCCACUUCACACAAAUGGCCGUGCAGAAUUCUCUUCCCGGGAGCUGGGGAUUUCCCUCCCUUUUUAGGAAGUUCGCUUCUGGUAUCUUCCUCACCAUCAGAAAGUUAGGACCCAAAUUGCCCACAGGUACUCCACGCCCUGGGAAAUGCCCGGACCCUGUUCCCGGUGGGUCACAAAGGCUGCGACGGGACACGGCCACCCUCCCGGCCCCGCUGGGCUGCUCUCACAGGGCUGCUCUCACAAGGCCUCAACGCCGCCCGCCCACGCACGUGUGUGCCCACACGCAUGUGCGAAACAUAUUUUGUGAUAACAGCUCUACGCAGACAUGGUACCCAUGGCCGAUAAAGUAGGGCCUCUUGUGGAAAGCCCCGCAGAGCUGGAUGGAUCACAACCCCGGAGCGCCGUAUCAGAGGAAAGCUAAUCAAAAAUGACGUGGGAGACAUUGUGCUGCCGACCGCUGAGCUCCGUCUCGGCCUCCUUGGAGAGAUGCUCCCCGUGCUUGUUCUCGGCGAGCCCUUGUCCGGCCCCCGGAAGACCGGCGGGGCCUCCCCGCUUCCUGCCGUUUGUCUUCCCGCUCUCCGGCUCCGACCCUCCUUCCAAAGUCCUCCUGCAGGCUUUCGGCAAGAGGCAUUUAGGAAGGCAACGGAUUAUGCAAUUUCAGUUCAAGGGCUUGUUCUCAGAAAAAUGACUCAGAUUCUAGAAAGGGUCUGUGUAUUCGGAUGAGAAAUGAGGGAUCCCUACUUGCGCGCAGUCCCUCCCGGGCGGUGUCUGGCCGAGGGAAGAGGGGGCAGGUAACGUGAGAGCCGAGCGGCUGGUGUCUGGUCUGGAGCCCCACGUGCAUGGGGCCCGCACAGAAAGCCUUGUUUUAAUGGACUUGACCUCAAUCAGGUUUUUAAGACGAUCUUUUCCUGGGCUUCUCCUUGUUUCCUCCUUCUUGGAGGACAAGGAAAUCACGGUUAAGCAGCAGCGGGCGCUAGGGCUUGUGGGCAGCUUUGACACCAUCAGAGCCGCAAAAUUUGCAUCCCUGUAAUCCAGUAACCUGUCCCAGCAAACAUCUGCUGGUGUCAGUUCCUUUUCUGACUUCUUCGUCGGCAGAAGGAGGGGCAGAGCCCUGCGCUCGCGUUCCAGGGGCCGGGGAUCGGGGUCAGUGCGUCCUUCACACCAAGCGGCGGCUCUGGGGUCCCACACCAGAGAGGAGGGAACAGAAGGAACGGCUCUGGAGGUUGGCCGGGCACCCGAGCUGUGCACUUUCACGGGCUCCCAGGAGAUGGCACCCACUUUGUGCAAAAAGAUCUCCGAGCACCCCGUUUCCCUUUCUGGAGGCACACGGCUCCAGCGGCUCAGCACCCUGAGAGGCGCUUGUGAGGAGACGGAAGUAGGCAGUGCUCAGUGGCGCUUGGUCUUGAGAGCAGAGCCCUGCUCGGUGACCCCCCGGAGGGGCGAUGAGGACAGUUGUCAGAGCCCAGCGCUCGACCAGGCUGGGGCAGGGUCACCAAGUGUGGCCUGAGAGAAGGCGAGACUAAAAGCAUGCA
This is a long non-coding RNA of Mustela erminea (ermine), 2524 nucleotides long. RefSeq lists it as uncharacterized. The transcript has 3 exons. The record is from RefSeq and is a predicted model, not a curated record. Lineage: Eukaryota; Metazoa; Chordata; Mammalia; Carnivora; Mustelidae.